This 513-nucleotide ribosomal RNA is filed under the name uncultured bacterium. RNAcentral describes it as "partial 16S ribosomal RNA". It matches the Rfam family "Bacterial small subunit ribosomal RNA", at positions 28 to 507 of the family's 1533-position model. The record is from RNAcentral.
GACGAACGCUGGCGGCGUGCUUAACACAUGCAAGUCGAACGAGAGCGUAGAGAAAGCUUGCUUUUUCUACAAUCUAGUGGCAAACGGGUGAGUAACGCGUAAACAACCUGCCCUACGGAUGGGGACAACAGCUGGAAACGGCUGCUAAUACCGAAUACGUUCCGAAAGUCGCAUGACUAUCGGAAGAAAGGAUGGCCUCUAUUUAUAAGCUAUCGCCGGAGGAGGGGUUUGCGUCUGAUUAGCUAGUUGGAGGGGUAACGGCCCACCAAGGCGACGAUCAGUAGCAGGUCUGAGUGGAUGGACGGCCACAUUGAAACUGAGACACAGUCCAGACCCCUACGGGAGGCAGCAGUAGCGAAUCUUCCGCAAUGGGCGAAAGCCUGGCGGGGCAACGCCGCGUGAGUGAAGCCGGCCUUCGGGUUGUAAAGCUCUGUUAUACGGGACGAAUAAUCUUGUGGUUAAUACCCAUGAGAAGUGCCGGUACCGUAAGAGAAAGCCACGGCUAACUACGUG